GACGAACGCUGGCGGCGCGCCUAACACAUGCAAGUCGAACGAGCGAGAGAGAGCUUGCUUUCUCGAGCGAGUGGCGAACGGGUGAGUAACGCGUGAGGAACCUGCCUCAAAGAGGGGGACAACAGUUGGAAACGACUGCUAAUACCGCAUAAGCCCACGACCCGGCAUCGGGUUGAGGGAAAAGGAGCAAUCCGCUUUGAGAUGGCCUCGCGUCCGAUUAGCUAGUUGGUGAGGUAACGGCCCACCAAGGCGACGAUCGGUAGCCGGACUGAGAGGUUGAACGGCCACAUUGGGACUGAGACACGGCCCAGACUCCUACGGGAGGCAGCAGUGGGGAAUAUUGCACAAUGGGGGAAACCCUGAUGCAGCGACGCCGCGUGGAGGAAGAAGGUCUUCGGAU
RNAcentral lists this ribosomal RNA (400 nucleotides) under uncultured bacterium. RNAcentral describes it as "bacterial SSU rRNA". It matches the Rfam family "Bacterial small subunit ribosomal RNA", at positions 28 to 423 of the family's 1533-position model. The record is from RNAcentral.